UACGGGGGGGGCAAGCGUUGUUCGGAAUUACUGGGCGUAAAGGGCUCGUAGGCGGCCAACUAAUUCGGAUGUGAAAUCCCCAGGCUCAACUUGGGAACUGCAUCCGAUACUGGAUGGCUUGAGGUUGGGAGAGGGAUGCGGAAUUCCAGGUGUAGCGGUGAAAUGCGUAGAUAUCUGGAGGAACACCGGUGGCGAAGGCGGCAUCCUGGACCAAUUCUGACACUGAGGAGCGAAAGCCAGGGGAGCAAACGGG
RNAcentral lists this ribosomal RNA (253 nucleotides) under uncultured bacterium. RNAcentral's name for it is "partial 16S ribosomal RNA". It matches the Rfam family "Bacterial small subunit ribosomal RNA", at positions 524 to 776 of the family's 1533-position model. The record is from RNAcentral.